UUUAAAUUUAGAGUUUGAUCCUGGCUCAGGACGAACGCUGGCGGCGUGCUUAACACAUGCAAGUCGAGCGAUGAAACUUCCUUCGGGAAGUGGAUUAGCGGCGGACGGGUGAGUAACACGUGGGUAACCUGCCUCAAAGUGGGGGAUAGCCUU
This 153-nucleotide ribosomal RNA is filed under the name Clostridium botulinum. Its description in RNAcentral is "partial 16S ribosomal RNA". It matches the Rfam family "Bacterial small subunit ribosomal RNA", at positions 1 to 150 of the family's 1533-position model. Lineage: Bacteria; Bacillati; Bacillota; Clostridia; Eubacteriales; Clostridiaceae. The record is from RNAcentral.